Molecule: transfer RNA, 73 nt
Filed under: Tribolium castaneum (red flour beetle)
Lineage: Eukaryota; Metazoa; Arthropoda; Insecta; Coleoptera; Tenebrionidae
Also listed under: 1 other name
Description: transfer RNA valine (anticodon CAC)
Rfam family: tRNA
About the family: Transfer RNA (tRNA) molecules are approximately 80 nucleotides in length.
Source: Rfam by way of RNAcentral
GUUUCCGUAGUGUAGUGGUUAUCACGUCCGCCUCACACGCGGAAGGUCCCCGGUUCGAGCCCGGGCGGAAACA